GAUGAACGCUGGCGGCGUGCCUAAUACAUGCAAGUCGAGCGAACGGACGAGAAGCUUGCUUCUCUGAUGUUAGCGGCGGACGGGUGAGUAACACGUGGAUAACCUACCUAUAAGACUGGGAUAACUUCGGGAAACCGGAGCUAAUACCGGAUAAUAUUUUGAACCGCAUGGUUCAAAAGUGAAAGACGGUCUUGCUGUCACUUAUAGAUGGAUCCGCGCUGCAUUAGCUAGUUGGUAAGGUAACGGCUUACCAAGGCAACGAUGCAUAGCCGACCUGAGAGGGUGAUCGGCGACACUGGAACGGAGACACGGUCCAGACUCCUACGGGAGGCAGCAGUAGGGAAUCUUCCGCAAUGGGCGAAAGCCUGACGGAGCAACGCCGCGUGAGUGAUGAAGGUCUUCGGAUCGUAAAACUCUGUUAUUAGGGAAGAACAUAUGUGUAAGUAGCUGUGCACAUCUUGACGGUACCUAAUCAGAAAGCCACGGCUAACUACGUG
This 497-nucleotide ribosomal RNA is filed under the name uncultured bacterium. RNAcentral describes it as "partial 16S ribosomal RNA". It matches the Rfam family "Bacterial small subunit ribosomal RNA", at positions 28 to 507 of the family's 1533-position model. The record is from RNAcentral.